GUACUUUUUGUGAUAUAAUAUACAUGAGAAAAAAGAUCGGUUGGGGAUAUAAAAGGUGUUUAAAAAAAUGUGUUUAUGAUAUAAGUAAAAAAAUUUUUGCAAAUAAGGCCCCGUUUGGAAGGUGAGUUUUUUGAGUGUUUGUAUAAAACUUUAUUGUAAAUCACUGUAGAAGUUGUAGAAAAACUUUUGUGAGAUGAAAAAACUUUUUUUCCUUUUCCUUUUCUUUCUUUCUUUUUCUUUUUACUCUUUUUUCUUUCUUUCUUUUUUCUUUUCCUUCCUCCCUUUCCUUUCCCCUUUCCCUCCCCUCUGCCCGCCACCCCUUUCCUCCCCUCUCCCCCACCACCCCUCUGCCUCACCUGCUGCAGCCUUAGUGGAACUGCAACUCCAGCUUUUCCGAUUUCCAAAACUACUACUACUACUACUAGUACUACUACGGAAAUCACUGGGCUCGUGGACAGAAACAGGUUUGAUGGAGCCGCUGCUCCUUUUCUUUUCCUCAUCAUUUGGAGAUGGCAGCUUUAUAGCUGCGGAGCUGCUCCUAUUGUUGCUGUUCAUCUUGAACUUCUUCUUUAUCCUUUCCUCCCUCUCCCCAUCCCCCUUCCCUCGCCCGAAGCAGCAACAGGAAAAUUUUUUUUUCCAAUUUUCCUUCUCUCCUUCUCCUCCCCUUCCCCCACCACCCUCACCCUCCCCCGGUGUGAUCUGGUCUCGCGACCAGAUCGGCUAGAGGGGAAGGGGAAGGGUGGUGGGGAAGGAGAGGGGGAGAGAGAGAGGGAGAAAAAAAAAGAGAGGGGAUCAAAAUCGGACAAAGGGGGAGGAUGGCAGGGGAGGAAGAGGGGGAGAGGGAGGGAGAAAAAAAAAAGAAGAUCGGCACCGGAAGAGGUGAUGGGCGCCGGAACCGGUUGCGGAGGUGGUGACCGGCAACGGAGGUGGUGUUGGGUUGGGGUGGGGGGAGAGAAGAAGAAAGAAAAGGGAAAGGGAUUUUUUUUAGUGUUUUAGAUAAUUUUAAAGUAUGUAGGUUAAAAAUUUUGAUAAGUUUUGGGGUUCCUGUAGUAAAAGUUGUUAAAAAACUAGUAUAAUACAAACUUGGCUUAAAACCAAGGUUCCAAACAGCCCCCUGACAUACAAACAAACCAAGUAUUUGUCUUCACUUUUAUACUAAUUGAGAAAAAAAAGAACAAACUUUACUUUGCAUCCUCGAACUUGUAUCAUUUUCUCAUCUUACACCCUAAACUUCAAUUUUAAAAAACCGUGUACUCUAAAUUCUCAAUUUUGGACAUUUUAUACCUUGAACUCUCAAGUUUGUUCUAUUUAAAACCAGUUAGCAGCAAUUUUUGCAAAAUUAAUCACAUAGAGGUUCCAAUAAAUCAAUAAUAAUGUGCUGAAAGUAAUCAAAAGGUGCUAUGAUAUGAUAACAAAAAUAAAAUAAUAUAUUAUCAUUAAUUUGCACCAUCCUUCAUCUCGUUAAUUUUGCUAACAAUAUUAGUAUUGAGACCAUAUGAAUAAAUGAUAAUAUGCUAAAAAUAGUUCAAAGAGUUAAACAAUCGUAGUUGGAACAAAACGAUACAUUAUUAUUAAAUUUCAUUGCCCUUUAUCACGUUAAUUUUGUGAAUGUAAUCAUUGAUUGGAUUUAAAUGCGACAAAUUUAAGAAUUUAGGGUGCAAAAUAUCUAAAAUUAAAGUUUAGGAUGUAAAGUGAGAAAGUGAUACAAGUUCAAGGGAGCAAAAUAGAAUUAAUCCAAAAAAGGAAAAAACAAAGAUUUUAAAGCUACUUCAUAGUUUGCUUUGUAUUGAAUUACCAAAAACAUUAAACUGAAGAUAGAUUUGAUAAUGUUUUACUCCCUCGAACCGGUCUUCUUAAUUGGAGGAGGGAUGAGUCAAGUGAUUCGAAUGACGGGAGUGUAAGUAAUAGCUUUAGGUUCGAACUUUUUCGCUUAAACUAAAUGAAUAAAUAAAUAAAUAGAACCUCCUUAAUUUUACUUUCCUCACUCAACCCUAUUAACAGAAACUUUUAAUCCCCUUCAAAGAUUACAUCAACAUUUACAAAUACGAAAGAUGACAUGCAUUUGUUUUGGACACAAAUGGCCUUUAUAGAAUUUCGCAUUUGAUAUCUUAUCUUAUUUUAUUUCUAGUCACUUGCCCUAUCAUUUUGAUUAUUUAUAACUUUUAACUAUAUGAAUAUUUUUAGAAUUGUUGCAUUUUCAUUUUGAAAAAUAUUAUUUGCACUCCAAUUUUUGUUAAUCAUACUCUCAUUAUCAUUUUAAUCGUAUAGUUUUUAUUUAUUACAUUAUAUAAUAAAAUAAAUAGUGAGAGUGCAAAUGACAAAAAAUGAAAUGCAAAUAACAUUUUAUUUUAUUUUUUUACAAUUUAUGUACUAUUUUCGAGGAUAUUAUACUUGACAAUGACAAUAACGUCCACUUCUUAAAUUUUACAGCAACAAACUUCCAUUCUUCGAAGAUAUUUCCUCUUUGGAGUGCUUCAAAGUUUCCACACACACAUUCAAGGACAUCGGUAAGCAGAUAAUUCCCAGUUUCCCACCUUUAAAAUUUCUACUACUUAUCAGCUCGUUCUUAAGCAAUUCAACAAAUAUAUAAUAGUCAUGCAAGUUAGUAUAUUUUUGCUAUGAUUUCCCCUGCAUUUCACCACUCUUAUGUUUCUUGAAUUUCGUCUCAUAAUUCCUGUAUGGCUGUGAUUUUGGUCUGCUCCUCAACAAUUUGUUGUAGUAACUUCAGUUGCACAGGUGCAACUGAGGCUAUACCAACUGUUACCAAACCAUACGGUUUAAGUUACAAUGUGCCUUUAGGAGGGACAAAGAUUGGAACUUCGAGACUUUUCCCAUGUGGGUCUAUGUUGAGGUGGAAGAAAAUCAUGAAAAAGCAAGUGGAUUUUGCUGGGUUUGGAAUGAAAAGUUCAUAUGAUGUUGUCGUUGUCAAUGGAAAACCCAAAAAGAGUAUGUCUCCUGAGGAAGUUUUGGCGGUUUUGAAGUCAAAAUCUGACCCAAAUCAAGCCUUUUCUUUCUUCAAAUCCGUUGCUGAAUUGCCUACUGUAGUUCACAAUACAGAGACAUGCAAUUACAUGCUCGAGCUUUUGAGGGUACAUAAAAGGAUAAAUGACAUGGCUGUGGUGUUUGAUUUGAUGCAAAAGCGGAUAAUAUAUAGGAGUUUGAAUACCUACUUGACUAUAUUUAGAAGUCUUAACAUAAUUGGAGGGAUUCGGGAAGUAGUGGUAGCUAUUGAGAGCAUGCGAGAAGCAGGGUUUGUGUUGAAUGCCUACUCGUAUAAUGGAUUGAUACAUUUGGUUCUUAAAGCUGGGUUUUGGAGGGAAGCUUUAUGGGUAUAUAGAAGGAUGGUCUCAGAAGGGCUUAAGCCUAGUCUUAAAACCUACUCAGCACUGAUGGUGGCAUGUGGGAAGCGAAGGGAUACACAAACAGUCAUGAGGUUGUUGGAUGAGAUGGAGAGCUUAAAAUUGAGACCCAAUGUUUAUACUUUCACCAUUUGUAUUAGGGCACUGGGAAGGGCAGGUAAGAUCAAUGAGGCAUAUGGUAUUCUUACAAAAAUGGAUAAGGAGGGUUGUAUGCCUGAUGUAGUGACUUACACAGUUCUUAUUGAUGCUCUUUGUGAUGCUGGAAAGCUUGACAUUGCAAAAGAAGUUUUUGCAAAGAUGAAAUGUGGAAGGCAAAAACCUGAUCAUGUAACUUACAUCACAUUGCUGGAAAAAUUUGCUGAUCAUGCAGACCUGGAAUCUGUUAGGGAAUAUCUGUGUAAAAUGGAAGCUGAUGGUUAUAAAGGGGAUGUUGUUACUUUCACGAUACUUAUUGAUGCCUUGUGCAAAGUGGGAAAUGUUGAUGAAGCAUUUGCCACUUUGGAAACCAUGAAGGAGAAAGGACUAGCCCCUAAUCUACACACUUACAAUACCUUGAUUGGUGGCCUUCUGAGAGAAAAUAGGUCUGAUCAGGCAUUUGAGCUAUUUGGUAGCUUGGAAUCAUUAGGCGUGCAGCAUACUGCAUUCACAUAUAUCCUGUUCAUUGACCACUAUGCAAAAUUAGGUCAAACUGACAAGGCUCUUGAAACUUUUGAGAAGAUGAAAGCUCAUGGAAUUGCUCCAAAUGUUGUCGCUUUCAAUGCAUCUCUGUAUGGCCUUGCAGAAUUGGGUCGGCUUAAGGAGGCAAAAGAUACUUUUAAUGGAAUGAAAAGGAGUGGACUUGUACCUGAUUCCAUCACGUAUAACAUGAUGAUAAAGUGCUUUGCCAAUGCAGGAAAAGUUGAUGAGGCUGUUCAGUUACUGAAUGAGAUGAUUGAGACUGGCUGUGAUCCAGAUGUUAUCAUUGUCAAUUCUUUAAUUGACAUGCUUUACAAGGCUGAUCGUCCAGAUGAGGCGUGGGCAAUGUUCAGACAGCUUGUUCCUUCAGUUGUCACGUACAACACUUUGUUGGCUGGACUGAGAAAGGAGGGCAAGCAUAUAGCAGCUUUUCAGUUAUUCGACAGCAUGAGUGCACGUGGGUGUCCUCCCAAUACAAUAACAUUCAAUACUGUUUUGGAUUGUCAUUGCAAGAAUAAUGAGGUUGACUCAGCUGUGAAGAUAGUUUAUCAAAUGACAGAAGUUAAAUGCUAUCCUGAUGUUUUUACGUACAACACAAUCAUUUCUGGGUUAAUUAAAGAAAACAGGUUGAGGGAAGCAUUCUGGUUCUACCAUCAAAUGAGAAAAGUGUUGUACCCUGACUCUGUAACUUUGUGCACUCUCCUUCCUGGUAUCAUGAAAGAGGGUUUGAUUGAUGAUGCUUUUCACAUUGUCAAGGAUUUUGCUCACCAAGUUGAAAGUACGUUAGACAGAUCUUUCUGGGAAAAUCUAAUGGAAGGAACUAUUUGUGAAGCUGAAUUGCAUUACUGCAUUUCAUUUAUGGAAAAGUUACUUUCUGAUUGUCUGUGCAAAAAUGAAUCGAUCAUGAUACCUAUUAUUAAAUUUCAGUGCAAGCAAAAGAAAGUCCUUGAUGCUCAUAAAUUGUUUUUGAAAGUCAAAAAGUCAUUUGGGAUAUUACCGACACUAGAAAUACAUUGUGUCCUAAUUGAUGGCUUCUUGAAUUUCAUCAUAAAGAAUUGGCUUGGGAACUUUUCAUGGACAUGAAAAAGGCUGGUUGUGCUCCUGAUGUUUCCAUAUACAAUUUGUUGCUUGAUUAUCUUGCGAAGUCAGGAAUGAUUGAUGAACUUUUUGAAUUGUAUGAAGAGAUGCAUCAUAGAGGAUGUACGCCUGAUACCGUAACGCACAACAUACUCAUCUCUGGUCUUGUUAAGGCUGGUGACGUGUACAAGGCCAUAGAUUUAUACUAUGAUAUGGUAAGUGGAGGCUUUUCUCCCACUCCCUGCACAUAUGGUCCUCUUCUAGAUGGUCUUCUCAAACUUGAAGAUUUGGAUGGAGCAAAGAAAUUGCUUGAGGAAAUGAUUGAUUAUGGAUGUCUACCUAACUCUGCUAUAUACAACAUCCUUAUCAAUGGAUUUGGUAAAGCAGGGGAUGUGGAAAAUGCAAUUUCAUAUUUCAAUAGAAUGCUUAGGGAGGGAAUAAGACCUGACUUGAAAUCUUACACCAUUCUUGUUGAUUGUCUUUGCAUAGCUGGAAAGGUGGAAGAUGCAAUUUACUAUUUUGAGGAGUUAAAGUCAUCUGGCCUUGAUCCCGAUUUGGUUUCUUAUAACCUUAUGAUUAACGGACUUGGAAGAUGGGGAAAAAUUCAUGAAGCUUUGGCUCUUUUUAGUGAGAUGCGCAGCAGAGGAAUUUCUCCUAACCUAUAUACCUACAAUUCUCUAAUUCUCAAUCUUGGAGUUCUGGGAAUGUUGGAGGAAGCAGGAAAGAUGUAUGAAGAACUAAAGGUAGCAGGUCUUGAACCGAAUGUUUUCACUUACAAUGCUCUCAUUAGAGGGUAUAGCAUCUCUGGGAACCCUGAUGGAGCAUAUGAAGUCUUUGAGAAGAUGAUGGUUGGGGGAUGUAGCCCUAACAGCGGGACAUUUGCUCAGCUACCUAACUAAGUCCAGAUUACAUGCUUAUAGGCGAUGCUUAUGUAGCUUACUUUUCAUCUCCAUCCCUGGGGACACAGCUGCAAGGUAUUGCGGCUCCUUUGAGUCUCUUUACAUCGUGGCAACCUUUGAUCAGUACACCAACAAGGAAACAAUUAAAAGGACAUUACUUCUUGUGUUCUGAUUGAAUGUAUAGAUAUGUGUACUCUACUUAAGUGAUGUAGUUUGCUAGGUUGACUUCAUCUCAUUUAAAGUUUGUUUUAUCUGUAUACUUGUGUUAUCGAUGCAGGAUUUGAAGAGUAUAUUUGUACAGCUUCUUCCUGGUACAGGAUUUGAAGAGUAUACUUGUACAGGAUUUGAAGAGUAAUUACUGGUUACAAGGGUGUUAUGAUUUCAUCCUGUUGCAGUCAAAUCAUACAGCUUCGUUCUGGCUCUAUUUGUUGAUUCAGCUACAAUGCCUUGAAAGGUUCUACUGCACAGUCAUAACUAUAAAGUUGAUGUACAUUUUGAUGGUUUCUGUCCAUUAUGAAUAACUGAUCCUGUAAAAUAUACACCUUAAUUCUCUGAUGUAAUAUGCAAAAACUGUUUUCUUGUCUAUCUGCAUUUUCAGUCUUAUUUCUAGUAGAUGUACUGGGUUCUGGUUCUUUGUGUCAUAAUCUUCAUAGCCUGAAGAUAUUUGUCCCAGUGAAGUGUGUCCUUGGGCUUUGGUUGAAUAGUGAUAUAGAUCUACACUUGGCUCAUAUUAGCCACUGGAAAAUGAUAGUCAUGAUUUUAAAAAUUAUAGUUUUGUUGCUCAGACUUACAAUCGCUUAAGAAGGUUUUCUCUGCUUUAAAUUUCUUUUGUUGCCCAAAAUUUUUUGCCUAAACUUUUGUUGCCUAAAAUAAUUAAGCAAUUCAUCAAAACGAGAACCCAUGUGGAUCUGAACAAGACUUGCAGACCAAUAACCUAAAUCCAGAAGUUCUUGAAAGAAAAAGAAAAUAAAAUGCGCGUAUAUGUGCUGUCAAGAGUCCUAUGCCAAUCUCUGGUUCCAUUAGAAUAGGCCAGAUAUUUAGAUGUACUUUGUAGUUUGACUUUUCUUCUAUUCUGCCAAUUGAUACGCCAAUACUUCGAGCAUGACAUGAUAUUAUUGUAUUUAUCUGUUGCUUUCAUGAUACAGCUAUUAGCUUGAUGGGACAAAAUGCAGGUAUAAUUUUAUCGCUGCCUGAAAAUAUGAAGAUAGUAAAAUCAUGUUCAAGUAACCUAAAUCACAUGCUCCAGUCGGUGUAUAAUCACAGAGGAAAAUGCACAGUUUUUCACAACCCAAAUCUGUAAUUGUGAUUCAGCAAGAUGAAGUGAAGAAACCAGAACAAAAAUUGAGCUUCUAAGCUCAGUUUCUAUACUUAUAAUAGACGUGGACUCUAUUGGCUUGCUGAAGUGGCAGGAGGGCAACAAAAAAUGGUCACUCGUUCACCCUUCUAUAUGAGUAUAUACUGAAAGCAGAUCAUAUUAAACACACAUUGUUUAUUCUAUUCUCUAUAUUGGGACCCUUUUUCUCAGUGUUGGAACUUCAAAUCCAUAUUUAUGUGUCAGCAUAGAAGGGGCAGGGAGGGAAAUAACACAUUCAGAAUGAUUUCCAUUUUCUGUUGUAUUAUCCUGUCUUCCUGGAAUCUAUGAAGUAUCUUAACGUCAAUAUUUGUUGGCUAAUUUCAUCUGCACAUGUAAUUGAGCUUUUUAUUCAGUUCUCUGCUACUGCUGUACUUAUAGUCUCUUAUUGUUAGUCAAUUUCGUUCAUGCCAUUUACAAGUAACAUACAAAAGUUGACUGAAGAAUGUCUGCUUUCCAGUCCUUGAAAGACUUGGUAGUACUGGCUCAGAUUUCUUUUUCUUCAGUACAUUUUAGCAGGAUACCUGUCGCAUGUAUCGAGUUCUGACAAAGCUGUGGAGACUACUGAUGUCAAAGAUCUCUUCACAGCUCUGACUUGUUAGUUGCGGUUGUGUCUUUUUUCCUUUCUGCUUCUUCCAUGACCAAAGGAAAGCUUGUAAAGGUUGCCGAGAGAGUAUCCUUACCUCUCUCGACUUCAUACAUCUGUAGUCUGGACUUGCUUUCCAGAUUACCAACCUACUUUACCCGUCAUAUAUGGAAACCAACAAUUGCUUUCUAAGUUGAGAGAUGCUUGAUCACUUGGGAAGGAGCUCAAAAAGGCAUAUGAAAGAGAGAGAGAAAGGGCGGAUCUUGUUAUCAUUUCUCUGUGACUUGUAGCAACUUUUUGCUUUGUUAAGGUUAGUGAUGCCCUUUUCAUGUAGGACUGCAUCUUCUUUGGAUGAAUCCAUAUUCAAAACUUCAAGUCCUCGUAAUGAAGAAAUAUUAUUGCAUGUAAUUUGAACUUGGAUUUCCUGAAUGAAGAAUGCAAAGCAAAAGAGAAGGUGGAGGGGAAAUGAUUUCGUUUACAUUGUUUUAUUCUAAAACAUAAGUUCAAGUUUCAGUCAUUUCAAGUUGAGGUAAAAUCCAAGAUAACCAAAAGAUGAUUGAUGUCAGGAUUUAUUCGUUAACUUUUUCAUUUUGCUUAGGAUACGUACUCCCUGAAACUUAUUUUAGCUUAUGAUGCAUAAUCCCUGAAAACCAACAUAAGAAAAUUUUUUUACCUCAGAUCCCAUGUUCAUUUCCAACCAGAAAUCUGUAGAAUUCAUAAUUUCAAACAAGUAUUUAUUCUGCUCGAAGGACUGCAUGGUGACUAACUUUUGCCUUCAAAAAAGAACAUGGAAAUAUUCAAGAAGUUAAUUCUGGUAAGGAGAAAAGGGUUGAGGAGAACUACGUAUUAUCAUUGUAAAUUGCUUUUAUUCUUUUGGUGUGGGAGAGGGGGGGGGGGGGUGGGGGAGGGUUUCCCAUCUUUCCUUCCAAAAAAUGGCAUGACUUUCGCGAUGUUAAUAAGAAGUUCAAAAAUUAAAACCUGCAAAGAUCCCCUCCUAGCAGCUAUCUCUUGAUUCUCCACAUAACAUCUUACAGGUAUCGAAUUAAAUCUUACAUCUGCUAGGAGGAAAGAGACACACACAUAGCGCCAAUUGAAUCAAUGCACUUGAAAGCAUUACAAUGUAGCUCGCAUAAGCUUUUUCAUCUCAUUAAGAAGUAUACCAUCUGAAAAAUAUUUAGGUAAAAAUUACUACAUACUAAUGGCUGGUCAAGCUGAACUCUGUAUAGUCAUGUAUUGCUACAAGAAACAGAUCUAGAGCCAUGAGCAAGAAGCGAUGGCAGUGCCUAAACUGUGAUGACUUUCAUUCGCUUGAUGUGUGGAAGUGUGGAUGUGGAUAUCCAAGCCAAGCAAAAGAUUCCCGUAACAUUGUUAGUAUUCAUUAAAAUGAAUGCCACCAAGUUUCCACACAAUAUAUGUUGUUGCAAACAUCACCGUGCUGAUGAACACAAAUGAAAAGACAAUUAGAAACACAUCAAAUCCCCCAGGAAACUCAAACGUCCAUCCUGGUUUUGGCAUCCCUCUUUUGCUGUCAUCAAAUAAAUUUGGCAGGGGCUUCAGGAAGGCCAGAUCUUUUUCCUUUGUCACUUUCUUAAGAGCAUCAAGCAGUUUGCUUCCUAGCUCUGGCUUGGAUGCCUUGGACUCUGUAUAACGCCUAAGGACCCGAGCUGCCCUAAGUCUCUCUCUUGCGGUUAAUGGAGAUCGUUUGAUGGCUGGCGUUUGAUUAGAUGAAGGUGAUUCUUCUUUAGAGUUUAUGGAAGCUAGCGACCCAUUAUUAACAUCAGAGAGCUUGGGUACUGAACCUCCUUCAGCUUUAGAUUGAAUUUCAUCACCCCUUCCAAAGAAUCCGCGAGUGGGAGAUCUGUGGCAGAGGAUUGUUCAUCUGAAUCUGAUGUAUUAGCAAUAUUAAACUCAUUUUUACCAUUGUCUGUCAUGACACGAUACCAUUUGCAACUGAAGAGAAAGAACCUUCGUUCCAAUUUCGUCAUUAGACUUGGUAGCCCGCCUAUUCUAGAGUAGAUGUCAAACAAGAAGACCUCAUCAUUGAUGUCCUAAACUUCCUUGAGGCACUCGGACAGUUUGCCUGCAACUUGUCUUUGUUAAGAGCCAACAUGCAACAAUGUCCCAGAAAGGACUUAAUGAGAAAACAAGCAAAUUAAUCAGACGAGAUCAUGAACCAGCACAAAGAAUGAUGAACAGAUAAUCAUUUUUAACUUUCAAGAGCAGUUGAGAAUCUCCAGAAAUAUCCCUGGAUAUCAUCAAAUCCUUCAAAUUAUAGAUUGUUAAGCCACAUAACAACAGUAGCUCUAUCUUCGAUUGCUAAUGCAUCAAAUUUACAACUACUUAUUCAGAUAAGGCAUACUACAAAAAUGUCUUAAUUCUUUCCCUGGAACAUGCAACAAAAACGUAGCAUGCCCAAAUUUCAUAGACAGGCAAACUUUCUACUGCAGAGUUAACCCCAAAAUGGGUCAGCUAGAACAAAGUUAGAUUAAGAUAGAACCAAUUUAAGAAAUUCAUACCUGAGGCUUCUUUCAUUAGACAGGAUCAAUUUCACAUACCUAAGAAUCAACUUACUGAGAAUUCAAGUCUUUAUGUUAAUUAAGCCAGAUGGCAAAUUAAUAUUACCUUUGAACACAAAUUUACCAAGAAGCAAUAAAAGUACAAAGAAGCACUUGGACGAGAUAAUGGCCUAUAAUUGGCAAUGAUUGUCAAACAAGCGCUUCAGUCAAGAGUUGAACUUGUCUUCAAUAACCUUAUACAUGUUCAAAUAUAUCUCAAAUACUGUACUUAGCAAAUGAAAAUCAAGAUGAAACUCUGCAGCAAUAGAUCUAAGAGGUCCACCGAUUGCCUAUAAUAUGCAAUCCCAAAAAAAAAAAAAGCAUCACAAAUUGAAACCAAUGCUAUCAAAAAGAACACUAAUCAACAACCAAAGAGUGACCUAAGCAAACCAUCUAGGAAACAAACAAUAAAGUACAGUAUUUGAUAUAUCAGUAACAGAUCACCGAACACUUGUUAAGGUUAAAGAGGUCUCAAGUAAAAUUGGGACAAUAAAGUAGAUGCUUCACUAACCUUCAAAAGAAACUCAAACAACAGUCAUGCAACCAAUAAAGAUCCACCUGAAAUAUAGUGAAACAUAUGUACAUAAACUAUUAAGGACAUAUUCUGGCACCCCGAUUGUGUGUAUUUGAAAUAGAGCUGACCUGCAAAUUGAAUAAUUCGGUGCUCAAGUUCUGAGCAUUUGAUAGAAUGUGAAUCACUUGAAGCCCCAUAUCUCAGAUGAACCUUGCCAAACAUACAAGAUAUGAACAGCAGCAAUCCUGUACAUGGACAAAGGAUGAAUAAGUAGAAGUGAAGACAUGGUUCCACCAAUGUCACAAAUCUGAAACUUUAGGAGGCCAUAAGUACAAAACAAACAAAAAUCCUUCAAUAAACUGUUCCCAAAAAGUGGAAUCUAUUAAAUGAAAAGUUGAAAAACUGUUCCAACUCUAUAAACAAAGUAAGUGACCAUAGUAGGAAGGAGAUGGAGCUUUAAACCAAACAAACAAGAAAACUUCAAUAGACAGACAAAAUCACUUAAGCAGGCUAGUUUGUUUGCAAGAAGAAACAAGAAUGAAUAAAGGUUGAUAUCAAUACCAUUUCCAGUUCACUCAAGGAAAAAACUGAAUCCUCCACCCUUUUUUUUUGGUCAGAAACAUGCUAAAUGAUUAGCUAUACAUUAUUAGGUAAUGCUACUUUUCAAAGUUAAAAAAAAAGAUAGAGGUCAAAACAUCCCAUCUCUCCAUCAGUCAUCAGCACCGACUUGAUAGAUAUAUAUAUGAACACUACAUUAGAACUGAACCCAAAAUCCCAUUUUCCUAUCAAGUAUCAAGAAUUCAUUUGCCAAGUAAAUGACAAAAGUAAAAAAAUAAAUUCAAAAUCUUCAUAGCAUAUAGAAACUUAGCAAAGACACAACAUUGACACACUAUAAAUCAUCUGGCCAAGAAUCUCGCAAAAGAGAAGUUUAAAAAAAAAAAAAGCAACAGGAAAAAAAAUGACAAGAAAAAAACUAACCAAGAAAUGCAAGUUUGAGAGGGGGUGGCAGCACCAGGGGAAGCUGGAAGUUGCUCCCUGGAACUGGCUGGUGCAUGAAAGACUCUUCCCCCUUCGCUCCCUCUGAGCCCUUGGCGGGAGCGUGUUAGGGGUAUAAUAGAUAAGGGGGGCUGGACAACCACAGUUUAGUGGUCAGAAAUUAGCCUGUCUCGACAAUAGGGGAGGAACAAUCACAGUAGGCAAAAUGAAUGUAUUCAUCGCUCGCUUUUUCAAGUACUUAUUUCCCUUUCCACGUUCAAAUCAAUGCAAAAUUACCCCUUACAUUCUUUAAAAUGUAACAAUUUAAAUUACCUAUUUUGUGCUUUAAAAUUUUGAAAAUUUUUUCUAUCUUUUAUAUUUAAAACGAUGUAUCAUCAUCACUUCUGAUAUCUUGAAAAUGUACAAGUUUCAUUCUAAAGUAAUUGUAAUAAAAUUUUGGGUUAAUUAUAGUUAAUCCCCUUAAGGUAUACCCUAUUUCUCACUUUACUCCUUAAUCUUUAAUUUUUGUCACAUAACCCCCUGUAGAACAAAAUAAGUCUUCCAUUAUUUUGACUUUUCAUUUAGGAAAAAAAGUCUCAAUGACCCUCCAACUUUUAUUCAAAUAAAGUUUUAGCCCUCUAUCAAUAAAAAGGAAAGUUUUGGUUUUCGAUCUAACAAAAAAGCAUGUUUGUGGCCUUUUUAUUAAGUCGGGUAGUUAAGAUUGACGGAAACCAUUGUUAUGUGAGAAACACGAUCAAAUAUCAAGGACAUUAUAGUCUAUGCAGGAGCGUUUACAGAGUAAAAAGGCAGUAAAAGUACUUUGACCAUGGAAAAUCGCACAAUUCCCACCCCUUUUGCUUCAAAACCCUAAUGUGAAAAAUCAAACAAGAAGAUCCAAGUGCAGCAAAAAAGUGAUUAUGGCCGGAGUGGCUGUGAAGAUGUAAAUGGAGUGGCAAAUGCAGAGGAGAUAUGACUACUUUGAUAUAUAUCUCGUUUACGGUAAUUCAAAAUCGUGUUUACUAAUCCAUUUGUGUAUAAGAUUUGUUUAUAUGCAUGUGUAAUUGAAGGGAAAUAAGAUUUGUUUAUAUGUUUGGGUAUGGUGAUAUUGGGAAGCUAGGUGGUCCAAUCUGGGGGUUCCAUAGUAGAAAUUAGCAUUCAAAGUUGUAUUCCUACCUUGUUUAUUGGAAAUUGACCAUGUCAGACAAAAGGGGUUGUAUAGAAAGUUAUAUAUUUUAAUGGCUGAAAAGUGACGACUUUAUUUCUUUAGGGUCUUUAUUUUGGCUGAAUUUGACUAAUUGACUAUUUCAUUCGUGAGUUUUUAUGUGUUUUUUUCCCUGUGUUGUUGACCAUUUUAUCCCAAUUGCCAUUAUAGAGCCAGAUUCUGAAUUGUUUAUUAGUCAAAUACAUCAUGGGGUAGAAUUCUGUGGAAACACUAUGUAUGGUGUGCUAACAGAGAGGUAGACUAUGUAGAUGUUUGUGAUGCUGAAAGAAAGUUAACAGUUGAACUAAACAAAAUGGUAAAGAAUUUAGGACAUGGUAGAGUUGCCAUAAUGUACCACUACCUUGAACCAAACAAGGAUCUAGCAAAUGGUUUAAGAGAGUUGUACACCACUGAUAAUGUUAACAAACUUUGUGCCUGGGCUUAUAAGUACAAGGUCAUGGAAGUCUAUUGUAACCACCAAACAGCUGAAGAAAUUAAUAGUUACAAGUCUCCCUUAGUGGUGAAACUAGCACAGAAGAAGAAGUGUUGUGUUUUGAUUUUAGGGUUGGAUGAAAAGGGAAGUAUAGUAGGGGAACCAUCUUCUCAUGUAGUUCCUAAAAGGAGGCUAUUCAUUAAGGACUCAAGUAGAGGACAAAGUAAUGGUAGAAGAGUAUCCAAGAACCAGCAGCAUGUAGGAGGCUCAAGUGGUGGACAAAGUAGUGAUGCACAAGCAGCUAACAACCAGCAGCAGCACAUAGGAGGUUCAAGUGGUGGUCAAAAGAGUGAUGCACACGUAUCUAACAACCAGUAGCAGCAUGUAGGAGGCUUAGGUGGUGGACAAAGUAGUGAUGCACAAGCAUCUAACAACCAGCAACAGUACAUAGGUGGCUCAAGUGGUGGACAAAGUGGUGAUGCACAAGCAACUAACAACCAGCAGCAUGUUGGUGAGACAGAUCCACAAUAAGACAGAUACACAAUAAGAAGGAAGGAGCAAUCAGCAGCUAUUGAAAAUGAAGGACAAGAUGGAGAUGAUGAAGAUUCUGGAUCAAAAAAUAACUGUGACAGAUUUAAUGGUGAUGUAGACUAUUGUGGAGAUGAGGCACCACUGCUUGAUGAUUUGACAUUUGAGCUAACCCAAUGUACAAGCACAUUAGAAGAAGAGCAAACUAAAAGACCUUCACAGCAAGGAAGAACUUCAACUCAAUAGGCUACCACUGAACAGGUUCAAACACAAGAGUCAUCGCAACAGCAGAAUCAGCCCAAUGCAUAGCAGCAUCAAACACAACACAAAGAAACAAGUAAGGAGAAGGAGAAAUACACAACAGCAAUAGCAAACCCAAGAAGGAUUUGAAACAUAUGCAUUAAUUGGGAGAGAUAUAAUCCAGAUCAUCUAAGUAGUGAUGAUAAUUCAUCAGAAGAAGAUCAAGAAGUUGAUCAAUUUGCUGGGGGUAUAAAGAUGUUUCAUGGGAAAAUUUAGAAUUGGUACCAGGUUCGAGUUAGGGUUGAAAUUUGAGGAAGGCUACUAUCUAGAAAUAUGGUAUUAAGAUAGGAAAGCCAGUAUAUACAAAGAAAAAUGAACCAAGAGGGAGAGAGACAGGUGUAAAGAUCCAUGGCCAUGGUAUGUGUUUGUCUUAGUUGAAAAGGCACUUGGCACGGCAGAUUUGCUAGUGAAGACCAUGUAUGACAAGCUUAAAAACUGCAAUCAUGCUGGAAAAAUGAAAAUUUGAAAGCCAAUUGGUUGUCAAACAGGUAUAUGGAGAGGAUUAGAUCAAAUAUUCGUAUGCCAACCGAGAGAUUAGACAAAGUGUAAGUGAGGGGUACAAUACAUAGAUUUCUAAAUCGGUGGCUUUAAUGCAAGAAAAAUGGCUCCCAAAAUGAUACAGGGAUUGGUUGCAAAAAAAAUGGCUUCCAAAAUGACACAAGGAUCGACUAAAAACAAUACAAGAAAAUUUGGGAGUAUUGUGUUGAGAUAAAGAAAACUCAUGAAGAAAGUACAAUGGAAGUAAUGUUUACUCCAAUUAGAGAACUUGGGGUAAUUCAAAAUUCAUGAGGUUGUACUACUGGUUAGGGCCAUUGAAGAAAGGAUUCAAGGAUGGCUGUAGGCCAAUAAUAGGCCUAAAUGGUUGCCAUUUAAAAGGGAUAUAUAGAGGGUAGUUAUUAACUGUCAUUGCUACAAUUCGAAUAAUGGGUGAUGGCCCAUUGCAUGGGCAUUGUAGAGAGAGAGAGGCAACUAAGCAUUGGGCUUAGUUUUUGAAAUAUUUAAGUAAGGACUUGAAAAUCAAAAACCAAGUUCCACUAUAACUUUAUAUCAAAUCAGCAAAAGGUAUGGAUAUUAGCAAUUGCUUAAGCUUUUAACUUUUUCCUUAAAAUUUGUAAAACUAACAAUUUAUUGAAAUUCCAUUGCAAGGGCUAGACAGGGCACUAACAAAAUUCGUCCAAACUGUAAGCACAAGUACUUUGUUAAACUUUCAAAUUUAUAUAUUUUUAUCAAGAUUUUUCUAUUAUACUUUGUAAAUUUUUUUAUUUAACUUUGUGGAACUUUGUGAGGAUAGAUAUUAUGUCCAACGUAUUUUCGCAAUUUCAAGAAAACACAUCCAGGUUUGGCAGGCAAAAAGAGGUUGUGGAAUAUAGUAUGUUGCACAACAAUGGAGCUAUACAAAAACUAUGGAAGAACUUCAAACUUUUGAUAAGGAGGCAUAUGAAUGGGUCAAAAAGCUCCUCAUACUUGAUAUUGGUGCAAGGCAUACUUUCCAACUCACACAAAGAGUGACACGAUAGUGAACAAUUUAUGUGAGUCCUUUAAUGCUCAUAUUAUUGAUUCUAGAGACCAAUCUAUCAUCACAAUAUUGGAAAUGAUAAGGAGUAUCUUAUGCAGAGGAUAUAGAGAAAAAGAGCUGCAAUGGAAAAAUAUAAGGGGCCCACUGGACCUUUGAUUUCUAAAAUAGUUGAGAAUAGGGUCAAACAUUCAAGUCAGUGGAUGCCAAUUUGGAAUGCACUACAUGACUACCAAGUCAAGGGUCCAAAAGGGGCCCAAUUUGUAGUAGAUAUGCAAAAAAACUAUUGCACUUACAAGUUAUGGGAGGUUAGUGGAAUUCCAUGCUAUCAUGCUGCCACCUUAUGGGAGAAGAGGUUCCUCACAAGUACCUGGAUGGUUGUUAUAGCAUGGGGUUUUUCUUUAAGAUUUAUGAGAACGUGUUGCAUCCAAUUAGUGAUGAGGAUCAUUGGCUCCCAUCCAUCACGAUUGUAUUGGAUCCACCAACUCAACCUGGUAAGCCUAAAAAAACCAGGAGAAGGGAUGCAACUGAGGGGAGAGAUCAUGGUAGAAGAUUGAUGAGGAACAUUGUCAUUCGCUAUAGAAAAUGUGGUAAGGUUUGACAUAAUGUAGCUACGUGCAAGAAGCCUCCCAAUGAAGAAGGUCAAGAAGGUGCUAACAGGUCAUCCGAGCUUAUUGGUGACAAGCAGUAAAAGCAGCAACCAACCAAAAAAAGGACUACAGUGAGUGUAUCAUAUCUGUUGAUUUUUCACUAUUAUCCUUAGUCAUGGACUUACAUAUAUCUAUUUACAAAUUGGUAGGAACCAACAACCAAACCACUUUUCUCAAAUUUUGCAACAAAUAGAGUAGUCUUCUCAAAUUUUGCAACAAACAAAGCAGUUCUCUUAAAUUUUGCAGCAAGAACCUCAACAAGAUCAUGAUGAAGCUGGGCAACAACAAUCACAAUAAGGCCAACAACAAUCUCAUCCAUAGCAGCAACCAUCUAGAAAACCUCAACUAGAAAGCCACUUACUGAUGCAGAAAAGGAAACCAUCAAUGCUAACUAUGCUUAUUUGGGUAAAGAACCUCUAUUCAUAGUUGGCAACUGGAGGGAGAAAUGGAGUGGAAGAGGCAGGGCCAGAGGAAGACAAGCUGGAAAAGGAAUAGAAAGAGGAAUAGCUAUUGGAGGGGAACUCAGCCAAGAUAUUUCAUCUAGAGAGCAGUAUUCAUGGACACUUUUUGACUGACUCUUUUUGUCUUAUGUUGUGUAAACUUAUGGUGACUAUUCAUGACCAUAUGGGAACAUGUUUUUAUGUCUAGUAGUUUCUUUUUGUGUCCAGUAUUUCCUUGUUAGUGACUUACUGAUUUUGUUUUGGAUUGUAACCAACUUUUGAUACUUAGAAAUGUAUGGACAUGUCUAGUUAAUACGAUACAACGGUUUUUAUCUACUUCAUCUUAUUGCACUAUUUUUAUGAUAUUUUUCUAGCUACGAUAAAAAAUCAAUUCAUUGAGUUGAGUAAAUAAACUGCAACAUUUUCAAUUAAGAAGAAAAGACAGGAAGAUAUUUCAUUCAGGCAACCAAAAACACACAUUUCAUUACAAACUUUGCGAAUACAUCAUACAAUUAUAAGGAAAAAAAUUUACAUAACAAGGACCAAUUUGGUUCAUCUUCUUCACAUAGAAAUUCAAUUCAACUUGGUUCAUCUUCUUCACAAGCAACCUUCUAUUUGCUGAAAACUAGCAAGGUUUCCACUUGUUUGGCUCCAAAAGUCAGCAUCGUGUUAAAAAAAACAAUCUUAAUAGCAACUUGUUGACCGAUUUCUUGCAGCAGAUUUUUUUCCAAUUCUUUCACUUUCUCCCUCAACUUUGCUACUUUCCUUUCAUUUCUUCUUGCUAUUUCUUCAUAUGCACCUCCGUCCUUUUCAACUGCAUUAAUCCUUCGAAGAAGAUCAGGUAUAAUCACCGCCAAUUGGUAGCAUAUCUCUCGUCGAUCCAUGCCCAAUAUAUGCAACAACAGUCCAUGCACACAGCAAACUUGCAAUCAGGAUUCCUUGAGGUCCACGAAGUUAUCACCCUGGUCUCUUGUCACAUCUAUACACGAGGAGAGGGACACUAUUCAAUCUUCACAUUUUUAACUCUAGUUUUAACAGCAAUGAAGAUUUUUCUUACUCUAAUAUAACUAGGGAUUGAAGGUAAGGGAAGAAACUGCCUUUUUACUUAGUAAAUGCUCCUACACAGACUAUAAUGCCCUUGAUAUUCGACCGUGCGUCUCGAAUGAUGAUUCUCUCUGUUGAUCUUAAUUGCUUGGCUUGACAAAAAUGCCAUGAAUAUGCUCUUUUGUUAAAUCGAGGGUCAAAACUUUUAGUUGUUGAGGCUAAAACUUUACUUAGAUAAAGUUGGAGGACCAUUGGGACUUUUUUACCUUUCAUUUAUUCUUUUUCCUUACUUUAUUUCUUUUUCCUUACUUUAUUUCUUUUUCUCUUUCAUUUUUCUUCUCUCUUCCGUCCUUCCUAAUAGAAAACUUCAUCUCAAUAGAAAACUUUAUUUGGAUUUUAUAAUUGGGUUUAUGGUGAAGCUUGGAAAAUGCAUCAAAAGUUAAUUUCAAUCUUUUGUACAAUGCCAUGUGCUGCGGAUUCAAUUAAUAAUCAUUAAUGAAGGGGGAAAAAGCAAAAGACUUGAAAAGUAGAAAAAAAAACUAUUUUAGAGAAGGGUCUUGCAUACUUAAUGACCAUUUGAGAUGAAGUUUUUUUUAGGAAAGAGGAAGAAGUAAAAAAAGAACAAAGAGACACAGAAAAUAAUGAGAGAAAGGGGAAAGAAAAAAAUACAAAAGAGAGAAAAAACAAAAAAAAUGAAUUUAGAAUAAAGAGAGGUAAUUUUGUCCAAUAGGGGAUAAAAUGAGACAAAAAAAGUGGCGGUAAGGUGAAAAAUAGGGUAUACAUUAAGCGAUUAAUUGUGAUUAACCAUUAAAAUAAUGUAGACGUAGCUAUGGCAUGUCAAUCUCAGCUAAAUCUUUUUUCUCCUUUUAUGUAGCAUGUAUUUGUCAUUUCAUAUCAUAUCUAAGGGCAAAUUUAUCUGGAUUUGAGGACAUGAUUACAAUUAUUCAUAUUAGUCAAAAAUGUAUUAAUUAGUGAAGCAAAAGAUUUAGUUUGUUCUUUACUUUUGCAUCAUUUGGUUGACUAAUAGUUCUAAUGUGACAUAGAACUGGCAAGGGUGUAGGAUUCUCAUGUUCAAAAGUUGACUAAGAUUUGGUUUUGGGACAAAAAUGCAUUUUCAACAUCUUAGGGACUUAUGCAUCCUUUUAAAUGUAGGAUAUGAAAGUUUUUUUUUUUUUUUUGAAAAUGGGAGGGAUAAAAUUGGUCAAUUUUGGAAUAAUUUUAUCUUUCCUUUUUACCCCUAAUACAAUAAGUAUGUUAGCUAUUAGCUAAAAAGUUGAUCAACAUUAGGGUUUGGGACAACAUAUUGGUAUGUUUUUCAAAAUAUAAAGGAUGAUUUUGCAUUGUUUUAAAUAUGGAGAGCCAAAAAUUAUGUACUAAAAAAGUAAAGGACGACUUGGAUUAUCUUUCCGACGUAAACACUAAUCACCAAUAUUUUAAAACUUGGAUUGGACAAUCACUGGGGUGAAUACGGUAGUUAAGGUCAAUGAGUUGGUAAAAAUUCAGUGAACUUGAUGACAUGGUAUAGUAUUUAAUAUUUUAGUCAUACAUAAAAUAAAAAAGCAUUCAAAAAUAUCUCUGAAGAUAUCUCUUUUUUUAUACAUAUAUAAAUAGAAAAGCAUUCAAAACCACCCACUUAUAAUUUUUAAAUAUAUCUCUUGUUGUUUAUAGACUUUAAGUAAACAAUAACAAAUUUAUAACUAAAUUCAUUAUUUAUGUCAUGUCCAAAACCUACUUAGUAGAAAAACAGGACAAGUGAUCACACAGUAAAUGAUUUGACACUUUUAAGUCAUCUCCUUUCUUCUUUUUGCUUUUUCCUUUAUAAGAUUUAGAGUUUCCCUUGAAUAAAAAACUCAUUAAACUUAUUUGACAAAAUAUGGAAAUUUAUAAAAAAAAUUGAGAUUAAAAAAUUUCACGAGAGUAUUUAUAGUUGUCCAAAUUAUCCAAAAAUAAAAAGGAAUACUAUAAAAGUUUCGAGUAUCAAACUCAAGUCAAGAGAAUUUAAGGAAAACAUUAAAACAAGUCAAAAAAGAAACAAAAAACAGUGCACCAAAAAAUGAAAAAAAAAAAAACCCUUUUCCUAAUUUUCUUUUUCUGGUCAAAUCCGAUUUUUGACAUCAAGGCACAACAUCUAUACACUGGGCAUGUAAAAAUCCCCCGGACCUUAGCCAUAUAAUUUCCUGCAAGGUGUUUAACUAAAAUGCUGAAUGGAUAUGUGCAGCAUGGUACUCAUUUUACUUUCAUAGUAUCUAUCAAGCUGUGUCCAAGUAGUAUCUUCCAACAAUAGAUACUAGCACCAUAAACUCAUAAUAUCAAAAUCUCAUAUCUCCAAGGUUGACUUGCCAACUUUAAUCCGGUCUUCAUCGAGAAUUCCAUUUUGUAAAGCCAGGAAAGGACAGAUAGCUCUUAUAUUCCAGGCAAAGAAACAGAUCAUAUCAGAACUGUAUCACUCGUGUUCAAACUUGUGUCAAUCCUCUAUACAUUUUCUUCUUCUCAACGAUCAAGUUUCAAUUGGGUAAUGCACAAAGAAGAGCACAGAAAGCAUAUUCUGCAUGUCCCUUUUCAGCACUGGCAAAAAUCAUUUACAAGUUACAGACUAAAGUUUCUGAAGAAUGAUCAGAGGUUUCAAACCAACGAAAACAGAAUUGCAGCCAUUAACUCGAUCCACUCUGCGCUGGUUGUGAUUCAGUGCCAACUUCCUCAGGAGCCAAGGAAUUUUCAGAUGAAGGUUGUGAUUCAGUGCUAACUUCCUCAGGAGCCUUUUCAGCUGCUGGUUCAUCUGAUUCGACUGAUUUCUUGAAUUGCACUAAUAUCAUUGUCAUGUUAUCACAUCCUUCACCUCCAGCUGUAGAUGGCGCAAGACACCUAUCAAGUACCCUUUCACAUACCACGGAAAGCUUUGUCUC
This 21003-nucleotide long non-coding RNA is filed under the name Coffea arabica (coffee). RNAcentral describes it as "long non-coding RNA (CARA_LNC008216)". Lineage: Eukaryota; Viridiplantae; Streptophyta; Magnoliopsida; Gentianales; Rubiaceae. The record is from RNAcentral.